UACGUAGGGUGCAAGCGUUGUCCGGAAUUAUUGGGCGUAAAGAGCUCGUAGGCGGUUCGUCACGUCGGCUGUGAAAUCCCGAGGCUCAACCUCGGGUCUGCAGUCGAUACGGGCGGACUUGAGUACUGCAGGGGAGACUGGAAUUCCUGGUGUAGCGGUGAAAUGCGCAGAUAUCAGGAGGAACACCGGUGGCGAAGGCGGGUCUCUGGGCAGUAACUGACGCUGAGGAGCGAAAGCGUGGGGAGCAAACAGG
Molecule: ribosomal RNA, 253 nt
Filed under: uncultured bacterium
Lineage: Bacteria
Description: partial 16S ribosomal RNA
Rfam family: Bacterial small subunit ribosomal RNA
Source: RNAcentral